UUACAGUAUUAGGGAACACCCACUUGACCCCAACUAAGCCCAACACUAAAUCCCAAAGCUCUUUAGCCACUGUACAAUGAAUAAGUAAGUGAUCCACGCUUUCCGCUUCGCAAGCACACAAAAAACACCUAUUCGAGAGCUGCCAACCUCUUUUUUGGAGCCUAUCAAGAGUCAAGAUCUUUCCCCAAGUCGCUUCCCACGUGAAAAACAUGAUUUUAGUUGGGAAUCUUCCCACCCAAAUCUUGUUUUUCGGAAAGUUGACCUCCAUAGACCUAUCCAGCCAGCUGUAUGCAUCUUUCACUCUAAACUGCCCACUUCCCCCUCCUUUCCAAAAAACAGAGUCAUCCUCCCAAGUUAUCCUAACUCCUCUCAACGCUUGGAGCAACUCACCUACCAACUCCACCUCCCAAUCAUUGAAAUCCCUUAUAAAACACAAAUUCCAGCCUCCUUCCCCAACAUUCUGGUCCCACAGGUCUUCAACCUUUGCAUUUCUGUUGGCUGCCAAGGUAUAGAGAUGCGGGAACCUUUGGGACAACGCUGAAUCCCCGCACCACACGUAAGUCCAGAAGCUGAUUUUAUUACCUUUCCCCACCUUGAACCCCAUUUUGUCCUAGCACCAGCCAGCUUCCUUUAAGAUCUCCUUCCACACCCCCACACCACACGCACCCACAGCCUUUUUGGUCCUCCAACCAUAAUCCUCCUGACCAUACUUAGCUUCCAGCACAUGCUUCAAAGGGCCUCCUUAUCCGAAGUGAAUCUCCAAGUCCACUUGCCAAGAAGUGCUUUAUUCAUGAUAGUGAACUUCCUUAUUCCCAACCCCCCAUUCUCCUUAUCCCCACACACCACAUCUCACUUAACCAGAUGAGUUUUCCUCUCCAUGAGACCCCCCCCAUAAGAAGUCUCUUUGCAGUUUUUCUAAUCUUCUAACCACAGAAAUGGGCAUACGGAAUAACGACAACUGGUAAACUGGCAUACUACCCAUAGUGCUUUUAAUUAGAGUGAUUCUCCCACCCUUGGAGAUAUAUUGACUCUUCCAAAGAGCAAGCCUCCUUCUCAUUUUCUCUUCUACCCCAUCCCANNNNNNNNNNNNNNNNNNNNNNNNNNNNNNNNNNNNNNNNNNNNNNNNNNNNNNNNNNNNNNNNNNNNNNNNNNNNNNNNNNNNNNNNNNNNNNNNNNNNNNNNNNNNNNNNNNNNNNNNNNNNNNNNNNNNNNNNNNNNNNNNNNNNNNNNNNNNNNNNNNNNNNNNNNNNNNNNNNNNNNNNNNNNNNNNNNNNNNGUAGGAAUCAACACCAGAAAGGUAUUGUUAAUACUCUUGAGGAACAUAUUCUGGUCAUGGAACUCCUUAAACAUCUCCAGAAUUUUCUCCUUGACGAAAUCCCAACAGCAUUGCCAAAAGAAGACCGAGAGCCCGUCAGGACCUGGGGCUUUAUCCCCAUUCAUUUCCAUCAGGGCCGACUGGACUUCACCCUCAAAGAAGGGAGCCUCCAGCAACUCUGCCUCUUGCACACAAAUUUGAUUAAAAGAGAGACUUCCAAUGUCCGCCUUCCACCCCGAACUUUCGGAGAAUUGCUGCUUAAAAGCAUUUACUACCCCCUCUCUGAUUUCCCGCUCCUCUGUCAGUCUGAUCCCAUUAAUUUUAAUUCUAUCCAUGUGAUUAACUCUCCUAUGGGUAGACGCCAUACGGUGGAAAUACCUCGUAUUCCUAUCGCCUGCCUUCAACCAAAGUUCCCUAGACGCCUGCCUCCAGUGAGUUUCUUCCAGAUCAACCCACUUGGCAUAAUCCUCCUUGGCAUCCUUCUUAUAAACUAAUUCCUCCAUUGACAGGCUCCUUUCCUCCUCAACUCUAUCCCAAUACUCCACUUGCUGAAUCACAGCCUCCUUGUUGCUUUCCAGAUUACCAAACUCCUCCCUAUUCCAAACUUUCAGCUUUUGCUUCAGCUCCUUCAAUUUCGCCGAUAAUCUAAAACUGGCACUUCCCCUCACCUCUAUACCCAUCCACCAACUCCGGAUUAAAUCCUUAAACCCCUCGACUUUGAACCACAUAUUUUCGAAUCUGAAGGGGGUAGGCCCUCUCCUCCAACUACCCCCUUCAAGUAAUAUUGGAAAAUGGUCUGAAAUCGGCCUGGGCAACCUCCGCUGACUCACCCUACUGAACUGAUCAAGCCAGCAAGGAGAGACCAGAAAUCUAUCUAGACGAGCCCUUGACACGUUAUUCAGACCCCCAUUCCACGUGAAUGCACCCCCUUGCAAUUGAAGGUCCACAAGGCCUAGAUCAUCUACAACUUCCGCAAACCUCCUCAUAGCUGAAGUUAUUCUCCCUUGCCUGCUUCUCUCACCUUGAGCCAAAGUAAUGUUGAAAUCACCACCUAGACACCAAGGUCCCUCCCAGAUUCCUCUGAUUGCCCCUACUUCUUCCCACAACCACUCCCUUUCAAGUCUAGUAAACGGGCCAUAAACCCCCGUAAAAACCCAAAUCACCCCAUUCUCCAUUGUCCUGAAUCUGCAGGAUAAAGAGAACUGACCCACCUCCCACUCCAGCAACUCCAGAGCUCUUUUAUCCCAGCAUAUCAGGAUACCCCCAGCCGAGCCACAUGCAUUCAAAGCCUUCCAAUCUAAAAAUCUACCCGUCCCUAAACUUCUCACCACCCUAUCAGACAUAAUCUGAAUUUUUGUCUCCUGGAUGCAAAAGAGAUCCACCUUCUGCUUCCUAAAAACUGACUUAAUAACCUUCCUUUUCGUACUGUCGUUCACCCCCCCUACAUUCCAACUUAUCAAUUUGAGAUUCAUUAAACAGGCACCAUCUGCACCCCUUUGCCCUGAAUAGGGCCCUUCUUUUUGCCAUCCCCCUCAUAAUUCACUGAGCAUUCCAGCCUUUUUAGCUCCCUUUCAAACCUCGAUUUUUCCAAUAAACCUUUACUAUGAAUCUUUUCCCUUCUUUUCCUGAUUUUAGACAGGAAAUUUAAAAUCUCCUUCUCCAGCCCAUCAGUCGAAAAACCCAGGAAAUGGCUAAAUCUUGCUAGGCUGCUUUCUUGCCAAUCCAGGUCCUCUUCCCCCCUUUCUUCUUGAAUCUCAUUCUGAGAAGACCCCCCCUCCUGCUCCCUUGUCGUUGCUAGGGAUCCUUUGAAUUCAACCAGCUCCCAACAAACACUAUCAUUCGCUAUGGUGCCAUCUGCCUCUUGCCCUUGAGAAUCUCUAUCAUUUUGGCAGAUCUCCCUAAUAUCCCCAGAAUGGUCAAAGAACUCCCCCUCAGGAGUCCGACCAAGAGUAAGCAUAGAAGAAGAAGAAGAAUUCCCGGAUACCCAUAAACCCCCUGAGAAUGAUAGGGCCUCAUACCUCAUAACUUCAUUCUGGAGGGCACUGUCCGCCACCUCCUCGAGUGUAUUGGCCUUCUGAGCGAUCUCAGUUUCCAUCUCCCUUACUCUUAGGAAUUCUAACUCAAUGUUGGCAUCUCCAAGCAGCUCAGACUGAGCCAAGGCCUCCAACGGGCCUGAAUUAGGCUUGCUCACCUUCGGACCUAUUCUCUAUGGCGGCCCACCUCGUUGUGCCCCCUUCUGCUGAAGCCCACUCAAAGACGGCCCACUGAACACUCUUUGGUCCAUAGAUGACCCAGCACGUGGCCCAUAGCUCUCCUCUAAAACUUUCUCUUUGCCUUUUGGGCCUUUCGAUCUGCCCUUCGGCCCAAGCCCACCACUGCUAACUGCAUCUGAUCCAGACAUUGGAGUUGGGCUAGGCCCCCCGUCCCUCCUAAGGCUAAUGCACACAUUGGACCCAUUAGGCCCACUCGGGAACGACCCCUCAUCCGCCCCAACCUCUAACUCCCGGAUCAAAAUCCGAAUUCCCCCUUUAGAAAUGUAUUGUCUUUUCCACAUUGCUAAUCUCUUUCUGAACCUUUCUUUGACCCCGUCCCAAGCCACCACCGAGUUAUGGGCAACUCCUUGAGAGAGCCCUAAAUAAGUGGUUGGGAGCACACUCACUUUGCAACCAAUUACAGCAGCCACUCCACUACAUUCAACACACUCCCAACCAAAAUAAGCUCACUCUUAUCAAAAUUGAUUUUAAAACCCAAAAUGGUUUCAAACCACAUAAGUAACCAAUUCAAAUAAGUGAUUUGGGAAGAGGUAGUGGUGCAAUAGAAGGUUUGUUUCAAAACAAAACAGAAAAACACUCAAGAACCAACACAAAGAUCACAAUAGGAUCUGAAAAUUAGAGAAUAAUUCUCAAAAAAAUAUAUUGAACUUCUCUUUAACAAUUACAAUGAGCCUUUAAAUAAUGUUUGUAAUGCAAAAAUAAAUGAAAUAACUGAAAUAGGAAACCAGAAACAGGAAAGCAAGGUAAUUGGAAAUUAGGAAAACUAGGAAAGAAAUAGGACACUAAUGAUGAACCUACAAUAGAAACUAAUAAUGUAGAAAAUAGAAACUAAUCUAAAAUAGAAACUAAUGAUGUAGGAAACUAAAAAUAGAAACUAAUGGAAAUUGAAACUAAACUGAAAUAGACACUAAUGAUGAUUGUGUGCUGCAUCAGGUGGCCUCAUAAAAAACCAAAGUAUCAUUUGUGAACAACAAAUGGGAAAUCUACAAGCCCUCCCCAUUUCUCCCUAAUACUUUGAAACCAGACAAAUAACUACCCUCUCUUGCCCUUCCAAGAAGGCAACUAAGCGCCUAGCUAGAACAAACAAGUACGGAAAUAACGUGUCCCCUUGCCUUAGGCCCCUAGAGCUUUGAAAAAACCCCAAGGGAGUACCAUUUACUAACACCAAGAACCUUGGAGUUGACAUGCACCAACUAAUCCAAACACACUAACUAUUUGUUAAGAUAUCUCUAAAUCUCAAACCCAAACACACUAAAUAUUUGUUAUUACCAAAAAAAUAGAACAUCUCAUGGGCAUAGUACAGAAACUUAUGAGAAACUGCUACUUCAUACAGCAGUAUGUCAAGUUCAAUCAUGGAUUAUCCAUAUCAAAUGAGAAUCACUUAGAUGCAGGCCCUUUUAAGGAUAGUCCAUGGCUGGAUUGAAUCAUCCAGUGUAUUGAAAGGAUCAUUUCACCCAAAACAAAUGUAGACAGAGCAUGGCAGAAUGAUUAGUAAAAGCAUAUUGGCAGUCACAUAAUUACAUGCAAAACCGUCAUGGUAAACCAAUUUAGGGAUAUUUAUGCACUUAUUGCUAAAAUUCACUAUUGUUCCCAACUAGUUUAUCAGAUGAAGAAAACAUAACAAUUAUCCCAAAUAAACAAUAGUUUCCAAAGUGUUUUCCUAUUCAUAAGAUAUUCCAAAUAAUUCUACAUAAUUCAACCUAACAAAGAUUGAAUCUCAAUGACUUGGUGUAUGCAUUGCCUAGUUGGUCCAACAACAUACACAUCAUCUCCUCUAACUCAUUUGGGAUAGUUUCUUGUUUUUGGCUUUACCUGAAAACUGAAUCUAAAGCUAAAUGUCACGGACUUAGUCUUUUCCUAAGCUCGUGCGGCAUUUAGACAAGCCAAGACCCUUAAUCUUGCUAAGUCAGCCUUACUCUCAAUGCUUAGCUUGCUAGGCUAAGACGCUCACAACUCGGAAGCUUUAGAAGGCGUAGUAGGCAACUCUUAAAGAAUGGAAGUUGUUAUUACUAAAAGAAGCCUUUACAAGUGCUUUUGGGACUCACUUGCUUGGUUAGGAAGUGAUUUGGGUGGUGCCUUGGCCAAAUGAGGCCCUCACCUAUUUAUAGACACCAAUGGAACUCUCUGGAACCUUGGAGGGUUCCUUACAAAUCAAGAAGAUUCUAGAAUACCCUACACAAUUCUAUGUACAACCCUAUGUACAAGAAAUCUCUAGAAUUCUCUAGAAAGUCUUGGACUCCUCUCAUGCCUUCCACCAUAGUGUAGAGAUGUGGGGACAUCUCUAGGCAUCUCUAAAACCUUCCACACUCUUCCCUCCAAUGGCCUAGUGUAGAUGGCUCCAGGAGUCUCCAGAAGCUUCUUGGGCUCUAUAUAAACCCAUGAGGAGGCUCAUUUGAAGCAUUCUAUGACAUAUGGCCCUAAUUAUAAAGUGAGAGGCCUGGCACUAUGAAAGUUUCAUUGACAUGAAACAGUUUUCCACAUAAGCAAAAAAGAAGGCCAUGAAACCAACAUUUUUCUUUACUUCCUAUUUAACUAUUUUUUAAAUCAGAAGUUCUUUCUGAUAAAAUGACCUAAAUACAUACAAAAGUAUUGUCGGCCUUAAAAAGAGUUCUUUGGCUUCAAAAAUGUCAACCCAAACAGGUCUUAACAUGUAUUUUGUUUGUCUCUCAAAUUAAAAUCCAUUAUAUAUUCUCCUAACCUCAGCUAGUAACUACAGAUAUGAUGACUAUAACUGUGAUUUCAUCUCAAAAAGAAAAAUAGAAAUGAAGAAAAUGAAGCAUCCUUCGAGCUGAACAGGAAGAAAAUACAAACAAGAGAUUAAGAAAAUAUUGCAUAAUCUUCUACUUUGUAUUUUCUCUUUCCUCUUAUUAUAGAAACCAUUACUUGCAGUCAACAGCAAUCCAAAAUCCAGUUAACGCUGGUUUUUAAAAUUCUUAUUCCAGGAGUUAUUAAGGGUUACAACAUCAAAUCACCAGUGGCAGAUCCAUCCAAAAGCUUUUAAGGAUAAAAACUGUUAGCAUCAAGCUAAGUAAAUAUUCUGCAUCAUGAAAUAUAGCAUGGAAUACCAUCAAUAUCAUCCCCAUGACCAUCAAUAUUCUGUGGAGGCGGGCCUAAGGCCUUUUAAAGACAGCAGGGGAAAUGAAGGGAGCUUGGGCUCCUCUUUGGGCCAGGCCUUAGCCCUCUCUUCUAAGGCUUCAACUGAAAGCCAAUCUGGGCUUUGAGUGUCUCUCAGAUAAGUUUGUUGCCUUCAACAACUUUUUGGGUUUUCCAGUGACAGGGUUUGAGAAGGAGAUCAACUCCCUCAAAAAAUUGGAGACCAGAAGAGAGCAUGGUGUUAUGAUUGCUGGGGGAAAGAAGAAAUCACCUUUGGCUACUUGUUUGGAGAAGGAGAUCAGAAAGCUAGAAUGAUCAGUCAAUUACAGUGGCUCUCCCAACUCAUCCAGGGGAAGGGGGGUUGCGGGGUAUGUGCCCCUUCUAUUUGAGGUCGCACUCUUCGUGUGGCAGCUUGGUGGCAGGAUUUGGGCCCUUGUUGGUUUUUAUGGGUUUGCUUUGGUGUGGGUUGUGCGUUCAGUGAUGUUCUUUCCCAUAGAGGAAAGUUUGAUUGUUUUUUAGGUUUUUGUGGUUUGGGAUGGUUGGCAUUUUCUUCUUCUCUCCCUCCCUUGCUAGCCUUUUGGUGUGGGUUGUAUACUUCAUUGUGUACAUGGCUGCGCCAUUUGCGCUUUUAAUAUAUUCUAUCUUUACCUAUCAAAAAAAAUGACCAUCUCCAUAUUGCCAUUACUAACAUGGGUGAAAAUUCAACUAGUUUAUUGUAACUCUAGUUACCUCUUUGAUUAAAUAAAAGAUAGCAUGCAUUUCAAUGCAAGAAGAUUAUAACAAAGGCAAUAUCCGUAUAGCAUGUAAGCAAAGAGAGAACAAUCAUCACAAAUCAACAUUAAGUACAUUGUUUACAAUCAUUUUCAUGUUAUAUAAAUAAUUCCGCCUACCACAAAUUAUUAUUAUUAUUUUUUUUUUUGAAAAAAAAAGAAAGGCUCUGUAUAUGCUCAAUUCAAAAUGCAUCACUUUGAAGCCUAAACUUACAGGUGAUGUGAAAACCAAAGGAUAAGCCGUGUCCGACACUCCAUAUCUAAGUCGGCUAUUUUCUCAAAAAGAGCACGGACUGCACCAGCUACAACUGCAGGAAAGGCCCCAGGAAGAGCCUAAGAAUUAAACAUGUGAGUCAGAAACCUUAACGUAAAAGAGAAAACUCAAUUCAUCCGCAUAACAAUCAUUUUGCUGCCAAGAUAUUCCUUCAAAAAAGCAGCAGGUCAAAAUGAAAUUAAUGAAUAAAACAUGGUUUGUUCAAUAGAAUAUCAUCUAUAGUACCUUGCAGAGGUCAAUAAUAACCAGUGUAUAAUACAUUGGCUUGAAUGGGGGUUGUGGUAGCAAAAGCAACUGCAGGAAAGUUGUAAAUAAAUCAUAGUUGCAUCAAACAUUCUAAAAAGGUAAACCAACAUAAUUAACAUGUAAAAUUAAUAAAGAUAAUAUAAGGAAAUUAUCAGAGAAAAAAGCAUGAACCUAAUAUAUCAUAUCCCUACUGACACACUUCAAACACAAUAUGGAACCUUUAGACUUGUACAAGUGUCAAUAUCAACAACAUCUACUCCACAAUUAUAACCUUAUGCGUAUAUUGAAGGUUACUAUCUAAAAGACUCAACAAAAAACACAGACACAACACGAGCAUAACUGUAACAUGUAUAAUAAUCACAACAUAUAUCAUAGUCAUCAGAGAUUUUUUAUUCCCAAUACAUGUUACAAUUGAAAAGAGAAAGCACAAAUCAGGUGGAGCAAAUGAUGUAGAGGUUGUUGCUCUAUUUACAAACAGAAAAACUGGUAGUGUUAAAAUCUUACCUGGGAGAAUAUUGUCUCAGCCAUAAGAUAUUCAUAACGGAAAGGCACAGGCAAACCGACCAUGUAUGAAGCACAUUCCUUUCGACUAGCUUUGCAUGAACGAAGAAACAAAAAUAAGAACAAUUAAAUCCAAAAUAACCAGGAUUAGAAAAAACCUUUACAAGGAUGAGUAAGGUUAGUACAUAUAAAAACCAAAGAGAAAGAUCAUAAAACCCACAAAAUAACAUCAAGUUGAUCCAACACAUAUAAACACUAGCAACAGGAAGUUGGUAACAUAAGUAAUGUGACGGGCAGAAAAAAAUUAAUCGCUGCUGUAUAAAAUAAAUCCUCUAAAAAGCCUAUUUUUGGCACCAUAUCAAAACAUCCAGUUAGUGUAAUGUCCUGUAUGAGUAUGCCCGCAACAUGAAGAACCUAAGAGACCACCAUUUUUCUGGCCCAAUUCCCACUGGUACUCAUUUGUAUCACUAGAAAAAUUGCAUGAAUGAAAUGGUCCUGAUUAUCAUCAUAUUCGUUUAGAUAAUAAAGUAACUCAGACUGAACCAAUCUCCCCUGGAAUAAGAGAUCAUUCUCCAUUUGACUCUCCAAUUACUCAGUGCAUAAGAAUCACAAAAAACAGGACACAAUAUCGAAACUACACAACAGAAAUCUAUGUGCACACGUAUUCGAAUACAACAAAUGGAUGAUAUAAUCAUAAUUUAAUUCUCAUUUUCCUCCCUCCAUCUAAUCUUAUAUAGUUUUGGAACACAUCCCCAAAGAAUGGUGCUAAAGUCAUCAUAAAAGUCAAACAUUUUGAAUUCAUGUUUCGAACUAUAUGCAUUUCAUAAGUAAAAGACAAAACUCUACUACUAAAAAAUUCCCUACCAAAGUUCAUCUUGUGUAAGCCUUGUUCAUUUUGGCACUGAGUACAAAAUUGUAAGCUAUAUAAUUUCCCAUAAGCAUCCUAUGUAAACAUCCCCUCCCUUACACAAUAAACCACCAGGGAAUCCCCACACAGCAAGUCUGUCCUUGAUAUCAAAAAUUGAAAAUCAUAUUUUAAUUUCUUCCUCAAUUCCACUAAUCAAAUGUGAUGUAUUAGGAGUUAACCUUUGACACAAAUUAAACAUCCAUUUUCAGUUCAUGCGUCAAACAAAGUGUAUAUAGCUUAAAGAGUCACUUUAAGCUAUAAUAUCAGAGAAAAGGUACAGCAAAAACCAAAAGUCAACAAAAGGUAUGUAUCUUAGAUACUGUAAAGAAUUAUCUCCAGUAAUGACUAAAGCUAAAAUCCCAUCCAAUGAAUGUUAUUGACUUUGCAAAUGACACAUCAAGAAAGCAUUCCAUGCCGCCAUAAAAACAAACCAUAACACCAAAUUCCACCCCCACCCUCCAAUUGACCAAAAAAAUAGAAAAUGAUAAUAAUAAUAAUAAUAAUAAUAAUAAUAAUAAUUAAAAAAAAAAAAACAAACAAACCAUAUAGACUAACAAGCAAAAAUAUAUGAUAAAUAAAUUUGACCAGAAAAAUCAAACUCAUAUUAUACAAUUUAUCGUCAAUCAAAUCAGUAAUUAUGCUUUCAAGGAGAUCCCAACAUAAAGACAUUUUUUUUAAUAAGCAAAAAAACAUAUUAAAAGCACCUAGCAAAGGGGCACACCAAAGUGUAAGGGAAGUCAAAAGGCAAAGACCAAUGAGAAGAAAAAAAAAAGACCAAACCCUAUCUUCACUUGCAGCUUAACCAAUCAACUAAGUCUAACAUAGACAUAGAUUACUCCUCUCCUCUAUCCCACUCCAAAAAAUUACACAUAAGGGAGAUUUUAAGCUCUUGAUCUGAAUGCUCCACAUUCUCGAAAAACCUUAAAUUUUUAUCUUUCCAAGUGGUCCAAAGCAAACACAAAGGAGCAUAAAUACACAUCAAAGUUAACACCAUUUCCCCAUUCAAAUCUAUUGCGUCAUUUUGUUAACAAACUUUCGACCGCAUAAAAAAGAUAUGAAAGGAAGUGGGCUUACUCAGUCUAACAUUCAUAACAGUCAUUACACAAUGAGUGUGUGACACUAAUCUAACUUCACAAAUAAAAGUCAAUGAAGUUUACAAACCAGCCAUUGAAGAAGAAAAGCACAUCGAGCAAAUACUCUUCUGCAAUGAAACGAUCUAUAGGUUGUAGAUCCUGCCAUCAAAAGAAAAGAAAAGGUGAGGAUGGGCACCUAAAGGAAAGAACAAACAAAAUAGACUCCACUGACGAUCAAUAACCAAAUUAAAAUGCAAAAGACUUAACAUAUGCACUUCUUCAAACUUUACAUGAGCCCAAACCUUACUAGCAGAAUUGCUAAAGAAUCAGGACUGAACUUGACAUACCAAUAGAGCUCCUGAAUAACUUCAUAUUACUAAAUAUUUGAAAUGCAAACUAAGUAAGAAUGUUAUAACAAAUUCUAGUUCUCACUAAAACAAUUACUAAAAGUCAUUGUUAGAAUAAACACAGACAAUGUACCAAAGGGAGUACUGAAAUUGCAUAAACACAAAACAGUAAUCAAAUAAAUAAGAAUUUCUUAUCAGCCUACUAAAUGAUAUAAUGUCAGACCAAAACCUCCUAUUACUUCUGAAAUCUUUAUUAAUUUUUAAAAAAUAUCCUGUUGCAAGGCUGCAUACUUGAAAACAACGAUGCAAUUAAAUAGUACAAUAAUGACCCUCGGUAUGACAAUAAAAAUAAAGAAUAAAUAAAUGUGAUGUAUGGUGAACUUUAAAAUAACAGGAUUCAAUUAGCAUCCAAUUCAGUUCAUUGUCUCAUCUUCCAUGCAUAAGAAAAAUGUAUUUGAGAUGUUUACAGCCUAUAAAAGUAAUGAGGUCAAAGGUUGAACUUUAUCAAACAUCUCUAAAGGAAAGGAACCAGAUUAUGCUCUACCAGACUUUCAAAAAAAAAAAAAAAAAAAAAAAGGUAUAUUCAUAAUCAUAAUACUUCAAUUUUUCAGAAUAUACUAAACAGAUCAGCAAUUACAGAGAUGGUGUACUACUAAAAGGGUAAGGUUAAAAUAUUUUGAUCAAUUAAGACAUGUUCUCAAAUGUAACUUGAAAUUUUUUUUGUCAAAUUCUCAAAUAGAAUUUUUUUGGGUAAAACAGCUAUUCAAACUAACAAGUAAAUUAUUCUUUGUAAUAAAUCACAGCAGGCUAAUAAUAGAAGUGCCAUUACAAGGGUGAUUAGAUUUAUGUCAGGCACUAAAAUGACAAGAGGUGGGCUAAAAAAGAUUCACUUACAGGUAGUGAGAAACAACAAGAUUGCCAAGGAUUCAAUGGAAAACGUGGCUCUAAUAGGGCUGGAUAUCAGAAAAGGAUCCUUGUAGCCAACCAAAAUAGCUGUGAAGGUUUUCAUGAGUUGAAUUGAAUUAUCCCCAUUUUUUAUAAAUAAACUUUUGUACCCACUGGGACUUGAACCUAGAACCUUUGACAAACCCUCCCCACCCUUUACCCGUUGAGCCACGCCUCAAGGGCCAAGUAGAACGGAAUUAUCAUUGGUUUGUGUUUGAUUCUAUUGGUGCAUUAGGCUAUGUAUCUUAAGAUUGGCAAUUUUGUUUCAUUCAUUCUACCUUAGGAUCUUCCUAAAUUGUGUCUUACUCUCCAUUGAAGACUCAAGAUUGUUGCGUAAUCAACCGGGAUGACAUAGGUAAGGAAAGAAAGGUCUAGGAAAGGCAAAUUAGUGGUUAUUAGGCAUGGUGGGGACCAAGGUUUUUAAAAUUGAGUUAAAAGAAUUUCAAAUUGUUUUCGAAAGCCUCCUCGCGCGCUAAAGCUCUCUAAGGGCACUCGAGCACCAAUGGCAGAAUUCUGGAGAUCCAUCUUUUGCAUUUUUAGAAGGCUUAUUUUCAGGAGUUAUCUAAAUCCAGUCCAUUGGGUCCCUGGGCCUAUAAAUACCUUGCCUAAAAAGGUUUUUGAUAUGAUGCUUCUAAGUUAAAAAAACCUAAUUUGUCUUCUUGUUCCCAAAACUCUCAAAGAAGUUCAUAUUCGCUUUUACUAGGUUGUGAAGGAGAUCUACAUCCUCUCAGGCGCUGAGGUGACAUCUACUGGGAGCACAUGAGGUGUUACGUCACGGAUGUGAAGUGCAAUAUAGGUACUAAAGAGUAAGUCUUAGGGAUAGUUUCCACCAAGUAAAACUGUGUACUGUACUUUUAUAUAGUGGAUUGCAGAUUUGAAGUCUCCGACCCCAUGGUUUUUACAUCUGCACGUUGUGUGCAUGGCUUUCCACAUAAAAACUGUCUCUUAUGUGUUGAUUGCUCUUUGGGUAUCCCUAAUCUAAAAAGAGAGUUAAAUAAUUCAAGUUUUUAUUUUUGGGCUAAAAAGGGUUCAAACACCUAUUCACCCCCUCUAGGUGACAUAUAAUAGAUCAUAUAACUUUUAAUUCAAUUAUCUCAUCAUCUAAAAAGUGUACAGUUAAUUACACCUAAUACUAACUGCCAUUCAUAGAACCAAUGAGUAGUUGUUUUCCCAAAAUUAAAAAAUAUCACACCAAUGUUGUUAUUAAGUCUAUGCAUUAAAAUAUAAUGUUAAAAAAUAAAUUACAAUCUGCACUGGCACUUUAGAGGUUUCUUUCAAGCUUAAUCAACCAAGUAAAGAAAUGGUCAAUAACAGAUCCCAGCAUUUUGAAAGUUCAAUUCAAAAAGCCAGGCAAAAAAUUUUAGAAACAAAAGAAAAAUCCAUGUUCUCACUGAAUCUCCACAACUACAAUUUAAAAGCACCAAGGUUAAAUAAGAGAGCCUCUUAACUGAAUAAAUAUAGAUUCAAAAUUGUAGAUUUCACAUUUAAUUCAUGGCAACAGUAUCAUUUCUGUGACAUCAUGUGAUGCUCAUGCAUAUUAAGCCAACAAAGCAACAAUAUAAACAGGUUCUUCACGAAACUUUAUGCAAUUUUUUAGAAUUCCCUUUCAAUAAGGCAAAAAAGAAAAAGAAAAAAUGAAAACUAACAAGUGAACACAGUAUAUUGUGAGAUAAAUCAGCAUCUGUGGUUAUAAAAUAUCAUGAAAGUUUGGGUCAGAGACAUGCUGCAAUUUUAACAAUGAGAUAAGCAGCACUCUUUCAAGGACCAUUUUACCCUUACCAGAACACAGACAAAUCAACCCCUUUGACAGAAAAGUUCAAUCAACAUAUGCAUGUUUAAGGUAUCAAUGCACACAACAGAUUCAAGAAAGCUGGAGGCACAACUUCAAUGAUGCUUAAUUGUUACGCGAAGCUCCCUCCAGAAAGUCAGCUAAAACUUGCAUUUCUACAAAUCAACUAAAUCCUUCCACGCUACAUUCAGUUUAGAAAGGUUAUAUGCAUUUUGGGGACAUGAAGCUUAAGAUAUUCAUAGAGCUAGUCCAGCUGAAAGAAAAGGCAUAGGAAGACAAUAGCAAUAACAUUGGCAAAGGAGAUAAUGAUAUGCAUAGUACCACAAAGUCCACAGGGUUAACAAAAUGAGAAUUUGCAUGCAAACAAUGAACCUGAAGAGUGAAAACAACACUUCAAAAGGUAUACUAGCGUUAAGUCUUGAAAGAGUAAAAUACCUCAAUUUUAUUUGCAGGAAAUAUAUUAAGCCUGCGAAUCCUUUGAGGAUACUUCAACUCUGCAUCAUGCUUUUGUUUACCACAAGUGAUUCCAGAAAGUGUUGACGGUGGAUCAGGUAGCUCAGGGCAGCUUAGAGGCCCAAAAUCAUGAGACUUUCCAGCAACCAGCUGAGCUUCAAAUGAAAGAUGAGGUCUGGGAACUAGCAAGUAAAAAAAGCAGAAUAUGGAUCAAGCAAUGGAAACGACAUAAAGUAAAAAACUAAUACGACAAAAUAACCAACACAAACCACAUAAUGGAAGAAGAGAUACACAAGGCAAGUGUAAUAAACAUAUGAUAGAAAACUAAACAUUCCAAAUUUGUUCACAUCAAUUAAAAUAGCGCAUUAUUCCCCCUUAUAGUGUUGCAGGAUGAAGUUUCCUUUCUUUUAUGAGAAGGAAUGAACCAAAGUAAAAUAUGAAGGCAAAAAGUAAUAUUACCACUAUCAAGUUUCCACCCAUUGCUAGAUAAAACUUGUAUCCUGCCCCAUAAAUCUUCUAGAAAAUCCUGAAGAAAAAUUCAAAGGCAAAGUUAGGCAUGAAAGCAGCCACAUGGAUAGUUCAAAGGUAAAAAGUUGUCCACCAAUAAGUUUUUAAUUUGAUAGAUGACAUGGUUAAGGAGAUAUUGAUGAAAAUAUUGAUAUUGACAGAAAUUUUGGUAAAAAGUAACAAAAAAAACAUAGAAAUUAACCAAAAAAAUGGAAAUUUUGGAUGAAACUUUGAGAAAUGAUAAAAAAUUAAUAAUACAAAUAUUAAACUAGGUAGGCUAGGGCUUUAACCUUUUAGGGUUUAAGGAAAGAAAUGAGGAAUAAAAAUUAUGGUAGCAAGGAAAAGUAAAAUAAGAAAUAGAGAGAAAGAUAAAAAAGACGAGAUAGAAAUCUUAGAAUCUCACUAAGGCCUUCUAUUCUAUAAAUUUCACCUAGAAAAAAAUUAACAAUCUCACUAUUGAGAAUUACAAGGUAUGCAAAGACAAGCUUAAUAUUAUUGAACAUAAAUACUUAAUCACGUUUUAUGCCAAUUAGCCUCAUUUACAAGCUUUCGAAAACCUUGGAAUUUGAAUAGAAUUAUGAGAAAGUGAACCUAACCUAUGUGGUAGCUAAUUAGGAUUUUUACUUUUUUCCUAAAACCAUUAAAUCUUUGAAAAGAGAUUAAAAGAAAUUAGAAACAUUAUUUUUACAAUUAGAAACUUAUUUUAUAGAAACUUCUAAUAAAGUUUCGAAUAAGAAGACCUUUAGAUUCUAAAGACUCAAAAUAGGAACUUUUAAAAAAAGAGAUUAAUUUAGAAAAUAAAAAGUUAAAAACUUCUUUUAAGGAGAAUUCUAAAACUUUCCAAAUUCUAACUAAAACUCAACUUACUACUAACUCAUUAGAAUAAUAGAGAACCUAAAAAUACGAAAUUACCUAAACACCCUUGAUAGAGUCAUUUAGGAUUCUUUAUUUCCUUUCAUUUCUUUCUUAAAAAGACCUUUGAGAUGCAUCCUCAUCAAAGUCACCCUCAAAACUAUUAGUCUAUUCCUGUAGUUAUUAAUAUCAAUUCUUUCCAUAUAACAGUGACUUCUUGUGCUUUGAUCACAUCUAUGACAUCAAUUUAACAAUGUGCAAUACGAUCAACCCAUUGCUGCCACAAAACCCGUGAUCCAAAACCAACACAAAUGCAUAAGCGUCCAGCUGCAUCAAACAACCAUCAUUAGAACUAACAAAGCCAGCAUCAUGACUCCAUACUUGCAUGCCCAACCGGCAUUAACAGUCAACCAUCCACAGGACCACAACAACAAACAAGUUUCUAAGUUACUUGUAAACACACGACAAGGAAUGCUACAGUGCUUAGAUUGCUGUUCCAGUAGGGGCAGUGUUGUGGAUGCAGCUAGCAAACAUCCAAAAUUUCAUUUGAAAAGGAAACAUUGGAACAACUACACAAAAAUCAAAGCAACUAAUAUCAAUAGAACAAUGGAAUUUUAUUUUUGGGGUAUCAUACCUUUUCAUCAGGAUUUUUCUCAGUUUCAUCAUCAUCCUCAAAAAAGGAUAAACCAAUGUCAGAAAUGUGCCUUCUAAUGCUUAAAUAGGCUUCUACACCAACCAUUACUCUCUCAAUCUCCUCAGGAACUUGCUGCACAUAGAUAUGCUUUGUCACCAAAUGGAGAGAGCUAACAGAUUUGUAUUUAAAUGCAUCAAUAACUAAAACGAUGAGACCAUACAGAAUAUGAAUUUGGAGUAGAGGUGAAAAAAGGGAAGAGCAGCCUCAAAAUUAAACCACUAAUGAAAACAUUCAGUUUCCAGCACCCUUCAGGAAUGAUGUAAGCAGAACCCAAAAGAAUGAGCCAACUACCAGUAGAGAGGCAGGCAACACCAUAUCAAUAGACCCUACCGUUCCAUAAGCAUGCUAUCAUGCAAUAAAUCAACUUGUUCUCUAGAUGUUUGAUGAUUCAAACACCCAAAUCUUUUCUUGUUUCUUGCAAUAGAUUGUUACCAUUAAUAAAUUCCAAUAAGAACUCAUCAAUAAUUAUAUCAGCUUUUGAAUGCAUCAGAAAAUAAAUAUUUGAUCCAGAAGCAUUUUAAUCAACAAGAAGAGGAAGAAGAAGAAGCAAUGAAAAAGAUAGAAUCUUUUGAAAUAAGCAAUUUAUCCUUCUUAAGAAUGCAGACAGAAAACAAACAAAUUAUUUACCAACUACCACAAAAAUAACAUUACCUCAACAAGUUCUGCACCUCCCCAAGGGAGGCAAGACAAAAUGCAAGUUAUAUAAAAGUCAGCACAUGCUUGCCAAGAGGGAUUUCCUUUCUCUUCAUCCACUGUUGUAGCAGCCGAUGAUAAUAAUGUUUCAAAUACAACCACUAAAGGACCAGGUUGGAUAACUUUACUGCACAUCUGUAGAUAAUAAAAGACCACACCAAAUUACCACGUUUAAUAUAUAUAUAUAUAUAUAUAUAUAUAUAAAAUAAAAAAACUACAUAUAAGCAACCAGCUGAGAAUUGGAAUGCAGAGGAUAAUUUGUUUCCCCAAAGUCCUGACAACUAUCAAGCACUGCAUUGGAAUGCACAUGAAGAUUUUACAAAUGUAAAUAUAUGUGUGUGUGUGUGUGUGUUUCUUUACUGCCCAUGCACUUUCCAGAUGACAGCCAAAAUACAAACUUUCUAGGUGUUGCCAAGGGAACAUCCCUGUUAGAGAGAUAACUUGCACAGGCAUUGCUUAAGAAUAUUAAGUGCACUGCCUAAGUUUUUAUACGUAAGCAUGUAAUAGGAAAUGUAACAACAUUAUGAUCCUUUAUAAGCCAGAGGCACAAGAAAAAAGAGAUGUCACAAGAACACAAAAUUAGCAACCAAACACUGCUCCCAAAUGCAAAACCCCAGCCUAGAAGUCUCUCUCUCUCUCUCUCUCUGGGUAACCUGUAGACUUCAGAAAAAUCAAGAGGAACUUCAUGUGGUCCAGUGAGGGGGAAGGGACCCGAGAUGACAUGGUUGGAUGGAGUCAGGUGCAUAAAAUAGGGACGGUUUUCUCCAAGGUGAGUUGCUGCAACAGUUCCACAGGGAACGCAAGUCUUUAUGGUGUAAUGCCAUCAGUGCAUAAUGAAUUGCAUAGCAAUGUAUGGGAUGCCAAUACUGCAGUAAGGACACCUCAUUUACAAAGGGACAGCUUCUCUUCGUCUAUUUGGAAGCUUAUUUUGUAGGCUUUCAUUUCCUAUCCUUGUUUCCCUCAAAGAAUUUCUCAUCCUUUUUCUGCAUAUUGGCUUGGAAGGCUGCUCCUUUGUGCUUAUUUUGGACUAUUUAGAGAGAGAAAAUUAGGAGAGUUUUGGUGCCUUGGUGCCUUUUGCACAUCACGUAUGCUUUUGUUAGGCGUUGUUAGUAUAAUUGGUCUUUACCUAUUAAAAUAAAAACAUUUUUUCUACAUGUUCUUCCACAUUUUGGUAUUUUAAUGAGAUUUCAAAUGUCUAGAAAAACAAGGAUUCCAUUAAGGAUUAAGUCAUGCUAACCUAAAAGAGUCUCUUUGACCAUGGAGGGUAACACCCAAACUACACCAAACAAAGAGAAGAGAAACCACCAUGAAAACCUUGUUUUGACACAAUGAUGGAGAAUGUAAUCAACCGAUUCCUCUUAACCUUUACAAAGAAAGCAUUUAUUCAAGAAGGAAACAGCCACAACCUAAAUCAAAGCAAGUCCAAGACUCGGAUCCCAUAAUAAGUACUGAAUUGUUCCCUUCUAAUUUGCCUUCUUUGAAGGUCAAGAACAUACUGGAAAAUGAUAGUACCCAUGAUGAUCAUUUUUUUUUUUUUUUUUUUGAUAGGAAACCACACUAGAAUAUAUUGAUAGAAAAGAAGUACAAAAGGAGGAUGAGAAAUCCUCCCUCCAAAAGAAAACUAGACAACAAGAAAAAAUAACAAAGCACUAGACCGUCCCAAUAGAACUAUUUGAACAACACACUGAUAGCCAAUCAAGUUGUAGUACGUUAAGGGGGGUGCCCUUAAAACCCGCUGAACAAAACGCCCAAAGGGACGCAAGGAAAUGAAUGGAAUCCCAAAGAUUCCCUGCAUUCCUAGCCUUGUCCUCAAAUAUCCUAGCGUUUCUUUCACGCCACACAACCCAGAUUAACGCUAUACUCGCGUUUUGCCAUAGAAUUACCCCUCUCUUGGACUUGCCAAAUCCUUUGUAAUUGAUGAACAUCAUGUCUGAAAUGCUUUUCGGAGGAACCCAAUCCAUCUUGGCUAGCUGAAAAAGUCUGUGCCACAACCCCAACAUAACUGAGCAAUGAAGGAAGAGAUGAUCUGCUGAUUCUCCUUGUUCCAUACACAACUUACAUAUGUCAGGGCUAAUAGCUUUGUGGGGUCUCCUCAAUUGUAACGAGUCAUUGGUAUUCACCUUCUUAUGUGCCACAAGCCAGAUAAAGGCCUUAACUUUGAAAGGGACUUGAGAUUUCCAAACAAACUAAGUGGGGAAAAAUGGAGAUGAAUCAGGCAUUUGGGACAGGGCUGUAAAGAAAGAUCUGACUGUGAACAAACCUGAAGAACAUAAGGACCAUGAUCUCGCGUCUGAAGCUGAAGUGGAUAAGUUCAUACAAUCUAGAGAGUGCAUGAGGCGCUCUAGAUCUUCUAUCUCAGAAUCGGUUAGAUUACGACGGAAAUUAAAGUUCCAUGAGAAAGGGCGAGACGAACCAAGGAUUGAAGAUAUUGGAAUAUUUUUAUCCAUUACUACUCGAAAUAGUCUUGGAUAUUGGUCUUUUAAAAUUUGGUCCCCCCACCACAAAUCUUCCCAAAAGCGAAUUCUUUCCCCAUCUCCUACGAUAAACCGAGUAUACUUGGAAAAAUCCUGAAAGCCUUGUGCUAUGGCCUUCCAAGGACAGCGGUGUGACCAUCUGACUAUAGUAUUGGCAUCCCAACCAUUUGAGUGUGUCCCAUAUAUGUUAAGAAUGACUUGAUGCCAAAGAGAUGUACUCUCCCUAGAGAACCUCCACAACCAUUUCCCUAGAAGAGCACGAUUCCUUAAAGGAAUUUUCCCAAUCCCCAAACCUCCUAUAAUCCUCGGCUUGCAUACUGCUUCCCACCUAACAAGAUGAUCUCUUUUACCUUCCCCAACCCCUGACCAUAGAAAGUCCCUUUGUAACCUCUCUAUUUUUGCAGCCACUGAAGCUGGAAUCUUAAACAAAGAAAGGAAGUAGCUUGGGAUAUGGGAAAGGCAAGAGUGUAGGAGAGUCCCCAUGAUGAUCAUCGUAUGCGAGUAUUUAGAUUUGUUGAUUGCCAUUAGGAAAGGGAUCAGAAAAUGCACUACUCAACAUCGUAUCUCCAACUUCAUUUCAUUCGAUAGGUUGUCACCAUCUCAUAAAGUCUUCCUAUGUGAAUUAAAUCCCAUUGAUAUUCCAAAAAUAUUCCAAGAAGUACUUAGAAAUGAGAAUUGGAGGAAAGCAAUGUAUGAGGAAAUGAGAGCACUUGAAAAUAUCAAACAUGGGAGGCUGUUGAGCUUUCUAAGGGGAAGAGAUGAAUUUGGAGUAAGUGGGUGUUCACUGUGAAAUAUAAGGCAGAUGGAACUUGUUGAAAUUUGGCAUUCAAAGUUAGGGUUUUAAUUUAGGAAAGUAUUUUAGGAAUAAAAAAAGAGAGAUCAUUUAGGAUAUUUCCUUAGGAUUCAGUUUCCUAAUUUUUAGGAGAGAAUCAAGCUAGAUUGAUAUUUUCUUAUUCAGUCAUUUGUGUAUAUAUAUGUGUAUGGUGUUUACCGAAUAAAUCAAUAAAGGAAUUCAGAAAUUCUUCAUGAUAUCAGAGCCAGUUUUCUGAAACCCUAAUCCCUUCUGGCCGCCUCUUAUUCAGGCCAUCAUUCAUUUCGGCCAAGUCUCUCUGGCCAUCUCUCAAUCUGACCAUCUCUCUCUCUGGCCAUCUCUCAUUCCGGCCAUCAGUCCCUGUUCUCAGAGCCAAGGGAGAAAAACCGAAAUCGUCGUUAGAAAACAUUCACCGCCGGCGACUUUUCCGGCGACGUCUUUUUCCCACACCGCAAGGAGCGCCUGGAGGAGAUCUCCAAUUUUUCCCAAAGCACCGGAGCCAGAAAACCACCCACGCGCCGGCCACGCGCGUUUUUUCCGGCCGACGUGUGAGGGCGCGUGAGCCACUUUCCGGCGACGCGCUUCCUCCUCCAGCCUCGCCUAACGCCGACUAGCCACCCUUCAUACUUGUUUCUGCCAUCCUAGCCCUGCACGUGCCUCUUUUGGGGUUCUUUUGCCUCCACGGGCCCUCCGAACAGUUUUUCCGGCGUCCUCCGGCUAUUUUUUCUCAACCCCAAUCCCUGCACGUGCCUUGGGAAGUGUUCUUCUACCUUUCCGGUGGUGCCACGGUUGUUUUUCUUUUCCAUUAGGCCGGUAUCUCUGGUUUUCUCCUCUUCCCACUUUCCAGCAACCAUAUUCGGCUUUCUUCCUCAUCUCCAUGACAAAAUACGGAAUGGCAUCAUCACAAAUAUCCAGCGUCACGGCAUCAGAAUCAGGGGGCAGUUCUAAAAUUCCAAACCUUGGUGGCAGUGAUUCCUCUCCUAUUCUCAUCACAGGACACAAAUUAAAUGGCCAUAACUAUUUACAGUGGUCACAAUCUGUGUUGCUGUUCAUUUGCGGUAAAGGAAAGGAUGAGUACCUCACUGGAGAAGCAGUCAUGCCAGAAACUACAAAACCGAGUUUCAGGAAGUGGAAGAUUGAAAACAGCAUGAUCAUGUCAUGGCUUAUCAAUUCCAUAAACAAUGACAUAGGUGAAAAUUUCUUGCUGUUUGGGACUGCAAAGGACAUAUGGGAUGCAGCCAAAGAAACUUACUCAAGUUCUGAAAAUACUUCAGAACUUUUUCAGGUUGAAUUAGCCCUACAUGACUUCCGCCAAGGAGAGCAGUUAGUUAGUCAGUAUUACAACACACUCACAAGGUAUUGGUAGCAACUUGACUUAUUCGAGACUCACUCAUGGAAAUGUUCGGAUGAUGCAGCAACAUACAGGCAAAUUGUGGAACAAAAGACAUUGUUCAAGUUUUUCCUAGGACUAAACAGGGAAUUGGAUGAUGUUAGAGGCUGAAUCAUGGGCAUUAAACCCCUACCAAGUCUCAGGGAGGCUUUUUCAGAAGUUAGGCGUGAAGAAAGUAGAAAGAAAGUGAUGAUGGGAUCCAAAGAGCAACCUGCCCCAACAUUGGAUGCCUCUGCCCUUGCUGCUUGGUCAUUUAAUAGUAGUGGUGGAGAUCGUCAGAAACGGGAUAGGCCUUGGUGUGAUUAUUGUAAGAAACUAGGCCAUUAUAAGGAGGCUUGCUGAAAGCUUCAUGGCAAACCGGCUGAUUGGAAACCAAAGUCACGGUUUGACAGAGAUGGCAGAGCACACAUGGCUGCCAACUCUGAGAACACAUCUGUUCCCCAGUCGAGUCCAUUCAACAAAGAGCAUAUGGAGAUGCUACAGAAACUAUUAAGCCAAGUUGGCAGUGGCAGUACUACCGGGAUAGCCUUCACUGCUAAUCGAGGAGGAAUGAAGCCGUGGAUAAUAGACACAGGUGCUUCUGAUCACAUGACAGGAGAUGUUGCCAUUCUUCAAAAUUACAAGCCAAGUAAUGGUCAUUCAUCCGUCCAUAUUGCUGAUGGUUCAAAGUCAAAAAUUGUCGGGAUAGGUUCUAUAAAACUUACUAAAGACUUGUAUCUUGACUCUGUCCUCCAUGUUCCAAACUUGGAUUGUAAUCUUUUGUCCAUUAGCAAAUUGGCCUAUGAUCUCCAAUGUGUUACUAAAUUUUAUCCAAACUCGUGUGUUUUUCAGGACUUGAAAUCGGGGAAGAUGAUUGGCAGUGUUAAACUGUGUUCCGGGCUCUACCUCCUCCCAUGUGGCCAAUUCUCAAACCAAGUCUCUCAAGCAAGUUGCGUACAGUCUUAGAGUAUCUUAGAGUCUUUCAAUUCUGUGUCAAUAUCUAAGGUCAAUAAAGAUAGUGAGAUUAUAAUGUUACACUAUCGCCUUGGUCAUCCUAGCUUUGUUUACCUUGCAAAAUUGUUUCCCAAAUUAUUUAUCAAUAAAAAUCCAGCAUCUUAUCACUGUGAAAUUUGUCAGUUUGCAAAGCAUACUCGAACAGUAUAUCCUCAAAUCCCAUACAAACCUUCGACUGUUUUCUCUUUAGUACAUAGUGAUGUGUGGGGACCCUCACAGAUAAAAAAUAUUUCUGGCACUCGAUGGUUUGUGACAUUCGUUGAUGAUCAUACACGGGUAACAUGGGUUUUCCUUAUGAAAGAAAAGUCAGAGGUCGGGCACAUUUUUCAAACCUUCAAUCUUAUGGUUCAAAAUCAAUUCAAUUUCAAAAUUCAAGUCCUCAAGUCAGAUAAUGCAAAGGAAUAUUUUACUAGUAGUCUCAGUACUUAUCUUCAAAAUCACGGCAAUAUCCACAUAAGUUCUUGCGUUGACACCCCACAACAAAAUGGGGUGGCUGAACGCAAGAAUAGACAUCUCUUGGAGGUUGCCCGAUGCCUUAUGUUUUCCUUUAAUGUUCCAAACUAUUUCUGGGGGGAAGCCAUUCUCACAGCUACCUAUUUGAUUAACCGUAUGCCAUCCAAAGUGCUUACCUUUCAAUCCCCACGUCAACUUCUCUUAAAAAAAUUCCCUCACACCCGUGCAGCCUCUUCUGAUUUACCACUCAAAGUAUUUGGUUGCACGGCAUUCAUUCAUGUGUAUCCUCACAAUCGUAGCAAAUUGCUCCUCGAGCCAAUAAGUGCAUUUUCCUAGGGUAUUCUCCAACUCAAAAAGGGUAAAAAUGCUAUUCUCCAACCAACAAAAGAUUUUGCACCACCAUGGACGUCUCUUUCUUUGAACAUGUCUUCUUCUAUCCCAAAUCUCAUGUUCAGGGGGAGAGCAUGAAUGAACAUCAAGUUUGGGAGUCUCUUCUUGAGGCUGUACCUUUUUCUCACUCAGAGUCACCAAAUCCUUCCCAAUCCGCGCCCACUGAGUUGUCCACACCCAUGCUGUCAUCAGUCCAAUCAGCCCAGCCCACAAAUGUUCCUUCUCCCGUGACCAUCCAGUCUCCCAUGCCCAUUCAACCUAUAGCCCCACAACUUGCUAAUGAGAACUUACAAGUUUACAUCAGGAGGAGGAAAAGACAGGAAUUAGAGCACGGAUCACAGCCAACAUGUGGCCAAUAUAUUGACUCCAUUUCAAGUCUCCCUGAAGAGAACAUAGGUGAGGAUAGGGCUGGAGAGGUGUUAAUUCCCAGCAUUGAUGAUUCUACUCUGCCGAUUGCAUUGAGGAAGGGUGUUAGGAGAUGUACAAAUCAUCCAAUUGGGAAUUAUGCUACGUAUGAAGGGCUAUCACCAUCUUACAGAGCAUUUGCUACUUCUCUUGAUGAUACUCAGGUUCCCAACACAAUACAAGAGGCAUUCAAAAUUUCAGAAUGGAAGAAGGCAGUACAAGAUGAGAUUGAUGCACUUGAGAAGAAUGGGACAUGGACUAUCACAGAUUUGCCGGUUGGGAAGAGGCCCAUGGGGUGCAAGUGGAUUUUCACCAUAAAAUACAAAGCAGAUGGAUCAGUCGAGAGAUUCAAGGCUCGUUUGGUAGCUAGAGGGUUUACACAAUCCUAUGGGAUAGACUAUCAAGAGACUUUUGCUCCUGUUGCAAAACUGAACACUAUCAGGAUUCUUCUCUCAUUGGCUAUCAAUCAAGAUUGGUGCUUGCAACAACUGGACAUAAAAAAUGCGUUUCUAAAUGGUGACCUAGAAGAGGAAGUCUACAUGGAAAUACCACCUGGUUUCGAAGGAAGUAUGGCAAAGAAUCAGGUUUGCAAACUCCAAAAAUCCUUGUACGGCCUUAAACAAUCUCCCCGAGCCUGGUUUGAUAGAUUCACAAAGGCAGUAUUGAAGCUGGGCUACAAACAAGGUCAGGCUGAUCAUACUCUAUUUGUCAAGAAGUCUCAUGCCGGGAAAAUGGCCAUAUUGAUAGUCUAUGUCGAUGAUAUUAUUCUAUCUGGGAAUGAUAUGAGGAAUUACAGAAUUUGAAGAAGUAUUUGUCAGAAGAGUUUGAAGUUAAAGACCUUGGAAAUUUGAAAUAUUUCCUUGGUAUGGAAGUGGCUAGAUCAAGAAAGAGAAUUUUAGUCUCUCAAAGAAAAUACAUACUCGAUCUUCUUAAGGAGACCGGUAUGCUUGGAUGCAAACCAAUUGAUACUCCUAUGAAUAGUCAGAAGAAACUUGGUAUCGAGAAAGAGAAUACACCGGUAGACAAGGGGAGAUAUCAACGACUCGUCGGGCGCUUGAUUUAUCUCUCACACACUCGACCAGAUAUUGGCUUUGCAGUAAGUGUUGUAAGUCAAUUCAUGCACAGCCCCACUGAGGAACACAUGGAAGCAGUCUACAGGAUUCUUAGAUAUUUAAAAAUGACACCAGGGAAAGGUCUAUUCUUUAGAAAGACAGAGAAUCGUGACACUGAAGUAUACUUAGAUGCGGAUUGGGCAGGAAACAUCAUUGACAGGCGGUCCACUUCUGGAUACUGUUUUUUUGUCUGGGAAAUCUUGUUACCUGGAGGAGUAAGAAGCAAUCAGUUGUAGCCAGAAGUAGUGCAGAAGCUGAGUAUAGAGCUCUAGCACAGGGAAUCUGUGAAGGGAUUUGGAUAAAAAGGGUUCUUAGUGAACUGGGACAAACGAGUUCAUCUCCGAUUCUGAUGAUGUGUGAUAAUCAGGCAGCUAUAAGCAUAGCAAAGAACCCCGUGCAUCAUGACAGGACCAAACACGUUGAGAUUGACAGACACUUCAUCACAGAGAAGGUGACUAGUGAGACGGUUAAAUUGAACUACGUUCCUACCAAGCACCAAACCGCAGACAUCCUCAUCAAAGCUUUACCUAAGCCUAACUUCGAAGACUUAACUUGCAAGCUGGAAUUAUAUGAUAUAUAUUCUCCAGCUUGAGGGGGAGUGUUGAAAUUUGGCAUUCAAAGUUAGGGUUUUAAUUUAGGAAAGUAUUUUAGGAAUAAAAAAGGAGAGAUCGUUUAGGAUAUUUCCUUAGGAUUCAGUUUCCUAAUUUUUAGGAGAGAAUCAAGCUAGAUUGAUAUUUUCUUAUUCAGUCAUUUGUGUAUAUAUAUAUGUGUAUGAUGUGUACCGAAUAAAUCAAUAAAGGAAUUCAGAAAUUCUUCAGAACUUAGAAAGAUUUAAAGUUGUGUUGGUGUCUAAGGGAUGUGUUCAAACAUAUGGGGUCGAUUACCAAGAAUUCGUCAUAACAACAGCUUGAUGUCAAUAACACUUUCUUACAUGGUGAUUUGGAGGAGUAGGUUUAUAUGGAAACUCCACUAGAAUUUGAGGGAAAUCUCACUAACAUCCAUGCAUGCCAACCUAAUAAUGACUAUAUGGACUCAAGCAAUCUCCCAAGGCUUGGUUUUGGCGAUUUACUAAAGUCAUGUUGAAAAUGAAAUAUCAGUAGAGUUAAGGAGACCAUACCCUGUUUAUUAAACACUCAACCUCAAGAAAGCUGACUUCUUUUAUUGUUUAUGUAGAUGACAUAAUAGUUACUAGUGAUGAUCUAGAGAGAUGGAACAACUAAAAAGACACCUAGCUGAAAAGUUUGAGAUCAAAGAUAUUGAAAGAUUCAAGUAUUUCUAAGAGAUCAAGUUAGUUCAUACGAAGAAAGGUAUCUUUAUAUCAGAACAAAAGUAUGUAAUUGAUCUUCAAAAAAAAAAAAUCGGGAAGUAAACCAAUGAACACAUCAAUUGAAUCAAAUCACAAACUUGGUGAUGAUAAAAAGGAGACAAUGGUUGAUUGGGGAAUGUAUCAAAGGAUAAUUAGGAAACUUAAAUACUUUUUUUUUUUUUGAUAAGUAAUUAGGAAGCUUAUAUACUUAUCUCAAACUAGACUAGAUAUAUCCUAUGUCGUAACCAUUGUUAGUCAAUUUGUGCAUUCACUAAGAGAGCCAUCUAGAAGCAUUGUAUAGAAUUCUCCGAUAUUUGAAAUUCACUCCUAGGAAGGGUAUUCUCUUCAAGAAAAAUAGAGAACUAGGUUUGGAAACAUACAUAGUUUGUAGAUUGGGCAAGCUUAGUCAUAGAUCAAAGAUCCACAUCAGGGUACUAUACACUCUUAGGCAGUAAUGUAGUUACAUGGAGAAGUAAGAAACAAGUUGUGAUACCCAAAUUGAGUGUAGAGGCAAAAUAUCCAUGGCGUAAAGGAUUUGCAAAUUUCUUUGGUUGAAGAUUGCUUUAAAGGAUCUCAAAGUCAAAUGGGAAGGACCUAUGAGGUUAUAUUGUGAUAAUAAAUCAGUCAUUAACAUCACACACAAUCCCAUCCAACAUGAUCGCACUAAGUACAUGGAAGUGCAUAGACAUUUUAUCAAUGAAAAUCUCUUCCUUCUUCUUCUUUACCCUUUUUUUAAUUUUGAAUUGGAAUCUAACAAAAAAAAAGGUGUUUCUCUUCAAUAGGUAAAAGGAAAAUAUAUUAAUAUAGGCAUCUACAAAAAAAAAGGGCACACCCUAUGUAAAUAAGUGGCAUAAAACAGGCACCAAAACAUAAAUAAAUAUAACUACACAACCACCCGACAAAAGCAAAGCCAAAUCUUAUUUGCAAUGCUAAUAGCCAAUGGGAUAGUGGAUAAGGAAAGACGCUCUAGAGAGGAAGAGACAGUUUUCAAAAUUGCUUUUGAAAAGAUUUGUGAUCAUGUGGAGUAAAGUUUUCUAAACCAUGCACUUGAAAGGAAGGGGUUUGGUUCUAGAUGGAGGACUUGGAUGAAAGGUUAUUUCUCUUCGGCAACUUCUGCAAUCUUAAUGGAUGGAAAUGCUAAAGAUUGGGUCAAAGCAACUAGAGAUCUAAGACAAGGAGAUCCAUUGUCCCUUUUCCUCUUUACCAUUGUAGUUGAUGCGAUAAGUAGGAUGUUGUUGAGAGCUAAGGAGAGCAGGUUAUUAGAAGGCUUCAUUGUGGGCAAGAGUAAGACUAAUGUGUCUCAUUUGCAAUUUGCAGAUGGCGCCAUCUUUUUCUAAAGCCUAUUCAAAAUAUUUGCAAAAUUUUAAGAUAAUUUUGUUAGUUUCGGACACAUAUCUAGACUUAAGAAAAAUCUUGAUAAGACUACUCUCCCUGGCAUCAACAUGGGUUAGGAUCAAAUCACUAGGUUGGCCUUGUUGCUUGGUUGUAAGGCCUCUGGUUGGCUUCUCCCUUAUUUGGGUCUCCCACUACGGGGGAACCCACGGCAUGUGUUUUUUAGGAUCCAGUGAUGAGAGAAUUUCGCGAAGAUUAGAUGGGUGGAAAAAAGUCUUUUCAUCAUUAGGUGAAAGAAUAACUCUUAUCCAAUCAUGCUUGUCUCAUAUCCCUAGCUAUUUUCUCUCCUUUUUUAAGAUGUCUUCGUUAGUGGCGUUAAAGAUCGAGACAUUGCAAAGGACUAGGGAGCACAAGAGACACCAUCUCAUUAGUUAGGACCUAGUGUGUAAGUCUAAGGAAGAAAAGGAUUUAGGGUUUGGGAAGAUUUCUCUAAGGAAUCAUAUUUUACUACGGAAAUGGCUAUGUAGGUUUCCUAGGGAAAGUUUUACUCUUUGGUAUUAAGUUAUUCUAAGCAUCUAUAGGACACAUUCUAAUGGGUAGGAUGCCAACAUUAUAGUCAUGUGGUCACAUCGUUGUCCUUGAAAGGUCAUUGCACAAGUCCUUUAGGAUUUUAUCAAGUACACUAGUUUUGUAGUGGAUGAUUAGGCAAAAAUUUGUUUUUGAGAAGAUUUGUGAUGAGGGGAUUAACCUUUGUGUUCUCAAUUCCCAAGUCAAUUCAAAAAUUUCAUAAUUAAAAACCUUCAUAUCUCAUCUAUUCUUGGCUUCACUUACCCUUUCUCUUAGAACUUUUAAUUUUCGUCGUAACCUUUCUAAUUUGGAGAUGGAAAAUCUUGAAAGACUCGUGUCCUCUCUUACUUCUUUGUAUUUAUCUCCAUCCAUUCCAAAUGCGAUAGCCUAGUGAUUAUCUCCAUCAAGAGUAUUUAUAGUAAAGUCAUUUUUUUUAGUCUUGUCCAAUCAAUUUGAUCUGGUUUAGUUCUUUCCAACUAAUUUUAUUUAGGAAUCUUUUUUUUUUUAAAGUAAAAGCAAUUGUAUUAAGAUUGUCUAAAGGAGCACCCAAAGGAAUACACGAUGUAUGCAAUGCGUCAAGCCCAAAAAGUGGAAAACACUAACACCAUCAACUUACUUACAACCCAACCAAUCAAUGAAAUCUAAUUAAGACCAUGAGCUAAAACCUACAUGCUAAUCUAAAAAGAUAUACAAAAAGGAUCGUAAAAUAGUUUGGUUCGCCAACUUGGAAUCUUCAAAGGCUCUUCUAUUUCUCUCCUUCCAUAAGGUCCAAAGUAAGCACAAAAAAGUUGCAUUCCAAACUCUUUUUCUUUUAUUCCCAAAAAAGGAGCCAUGUCAGCUAAGUAUGGCAUCCUUGAUUGAAGAAGGCCCUUGAACACCAAAAAGAGCAAAAAUAAGAUGUCAAAUUAUGGUUGCCUUAGGACAGUGAAGAAGCAAAUGAUUUGUUAAUUCCUCCUCUCCCUUACAUACAUAGCACCUGCUUGGUAAAAACCAGCCCCUCCUUUUUAACUACUCUAAAGUUAGAAUUCUCCCCCAAACAAAAAAACUAACCCUCUUCGGGACCCAAGGAUUCCAAAUUAUGCCAGAAGGGAACACCCUAGCAUUGCAAAAAAGGCUAGAGAGGAGUAGAAGGAUUUAAUUGUAAAGAGGCCUUUCUUCAAAGCGCGCCAAGUCAUGAUAUCAUCAUCCCCCCUUCUAAGCACCUGACCUUGCAGCCUUCUAAAAACUUCCACCUCUCUCAUUUCCCAAUCAUUGCAAAAAUCUAGGGAGGAUUUAGGAAUCUAAAGUUUCGUCUAAGCCCAAGACCUUCACUUGACUUGUGGCACACAAAAAGGUAAACACUAAUGACAUGUUAGAGUUGAGAAGAUCCUACAAAACCCUUAAUACUAAUGUUUACUUGUUGUGUAUGGAGAGUGGAGGAAUGGUGGAUAAUAUUUUCUUACAUUGUCCAAUGACUAUAGGGUUAUGACACAAACUUUUCAUAUCAGCUAAGUUGGAUUGGGUUCCUCCUAGGAGUAUUUGUGAUAUGAUGAUCAUCUCCUAUAAGCGAUUAGGAAGCUCCAUUAGAGGCAAGGUUCUUUGCAAAACUGCUUGUCUCACUUUGAUUUGGGUUCUUUGACGAGAAAGAAAAGCUAGGAUUUUUUAAGACAAGGCCAAGACUUCAAAGGCUCUUUGGGAUAUCAUUCAUUUCUUUGCCUUCUUUGGGCUUCUUGCACCACAGCAUUUAUGAGCAUUCCCCUUAAUAUGGUCCCGCAUGAUUAGUUUUCAAUGUGUAGUUCGAAAGGUGUGGGUUAGCAAGGAGAGGUUGCUUGGAAGGAAAUUAUUCAAAUAAUAGAGCUAGGAGUUUUUUUUUAUAUAUAUAUAUAUUCUCAUGUGGUACUUACCUAUUGUAUAGGUUUACUAAGUACUUUAGAUGUUUGAACAUACUUUUGAUUAGUUGGUUGUAUUUUGGGAGGAUUCCUCAUCUUCCUUUUGUAUUUCUUUAUCCGUAAUUUAAUACAUUUGUUUGUUUUUUAUCAAAAAAAAAAAAAAAAAAGCAAAGCCAAAACCAACUAUCCACGGUUUUAGACUAUCAAUGAAAGCCACAAACACAUUUAUAGAGUAAGUACUUGCAUUGACAAUUUGUUGAUUUGAUCCCUAGAUUUUAUUAAAAACAAGCUAGGCUGGUAAAUUAGAAACUCUUUUAUUUCUUUCAACUCCAAAAAUCUCUCUAAAUUUGGAGAAAAAUCAAAAUAGUAUAGGAGUUUCUCUUUUCCACUCCUGCUUUUCUCUCCAACAUUUCCUCUUAAAUAGGAGUUAACAAGGAGAACUACCUUUUUUUUUUUUUUUCUAUUCUUGACUACAAAUCACUGAUCCUAAACAGUUUUUAUGUUCACAAUGAACUCUUUGCCUACUUCCAAAACCAUUUUUCAAGUCGUAAAAUUGAUAAUUCAGGGAUGGAAAAACAGCAAUAUAAAAAUACCAUACAUACCAUAACAGUCAGAAACCUCAUCAAAAUACGAAUCCUGUUGCAAUUUCCUGAAUCCAGCGCACCCUGGAAAAUUGAACAUAGAGAGACAGAGAGAGAGGUUACUCCUCAAAUGGUAUGAAUAAGUCCAAACAAGGUUAAAAAAAAUUUCCCUCCCCUAACUUAUUUGUUUCCAAGGUAGCCUCAAUGAACAAUCAUAUGAAACAGUAAGGCCCUUUUCUCCGUGGGAAACUAAAUCACGGGUUCCCAAGUUCAUCGAGGGUAGUUUGCAUAUAUUUCUCCCUAGCGGACCAGACGUCAACAUUAGAAACAUCACACAAUUUCCCAAGCUGACAAAGGCAAACUACUAUUAUCAUUAAUGGUUUUUUUUUUUUUUUCUUUUUUGCUUAGGAGGAAAAGUUAUUAAUUUCUCAUUCCAUAUCUCUAAUCCCACCAAUAAAAGAAUCUCCACUUAUUGUAGCCAACUCAUAUAUCUAGUCCACAACAGUUUUCCUACUUUUCCAUAUUGUGAAUUAUAUAAUAUCCCACGUCAUAAGAUACUUUAAAAUUUUGGUAAAUAGAUAAGAAAGAACGGGCAUACACCUUUAAAUGGACUUAUGUAUAGAUAUAUAUGACAAGAAUAAAGCAUCCAGUAAUAUAUAAUCAAUUUCAUGAAAGAUAAUACUAAAGAUCAAGGGACAAAGAAAUAAAUCCAUCAAUAUCAUACAUACAUAAGCAUUGAGAACUAGAGUUUCCAUAAACCAAAUUUAAGAAAAGUGACAUUUUAUUGCUUUGCAUUGGUUCAUUCAAAAUCCACACCUACUUUCUGAACUUCAAUUUUUUUGGGGGAAAAGAAAUUAUAAUUGUUAUUGUCUUCACAAACUUUUCACUUCAGGUAGUCUCAAUUUGUCUGCCACUAAAUCCUAGUACAUAGGAAAGUUUCAAUUAGUCCCCAAUAAUUGAAAUGCUAUCAUUGUGAAUCUAUACUUGCAGAGACUGCAGAUGUAGAGAUAAUAAAAAGAUUCCAAAGCCACACAAAAAAAACAUCAAGAUGC
RNAcentral lists this long non-coding RNA (31466 nucleotides) under Vitis vinifera (wine grape). Its description in RNAcentral is "long non-coding RNA (VVIN_LNC001927)". The record is from RNAcentral. Lineage: Eukaryota; Viridiplantae; Streptophyta; Magnoliopsida; Vitales; Vitaceae.